This 607-nucleotide ribosomal RNA is filed under the name uncultured bacterium. Its description in RNAcentral is "bacterial SSU rRNA". It matches the Rfam family "Bacterial small subunit ribosomal RNA", at positions 202 to 828 of the family's 1533-position model. The record is from RNAcentral.
GAAAGCCCCGACGGCGCGGGAUGGGGUCGCGGCCCAUUAGGUAGUAGGCGGGGUAGAGGCCCACCUAGCCGACGAUGGGUAGCCGGACUGAGAGGUCGAACGGCCACAUUGGGACUGAGAUACGGCCCAGACUCCUACGGGAGGCAGCAGUGGGGAAUUUUGCGCAAUGGGGGAAACCCUGACGCAGCAACGCCGCGUGCGGGACGAAGGCCCUCGGGUCGUAAACCGCUUUCAGCAGGGAAGACUUUACGACGGUACCUGCAGAAGAAGCUCCGGCUAACUACGUGCCAGCAGCCGCGGUAAUACGUAGGGGGCGAGCGUUAUCCGGAUUCAUUGGGCGUAAAGCGCGCGUAGGCGGCCGCCUAAGCGGAACCUCUAACCCCGGGGCUCAACCUCGGGCCGGGUUCCGGACUGGGCGGCUCGAGUGCGGUAGAGGAGAGCGGAAUUCCCGGUGUAGCGGUGGAAUGCGCAGAUAUCGGGAAGAACACCGAUGGCGAAGGCAGCUCUCUGGGCCGUCACUGACGCUGAGGCGCGAAAGCUGGGGGAGCGAACAGGAUUAGAUACCCUGGUAGUCCCAGCCGUAAACGAUGGAUACUAGGUGUGGGGG